ACCCUUCAGAUACCUCAUCCAUCAGAUCAACACUGGCCUGAGUGGCUGUAAAAGGAGAAAAAGUAAAAGAGAAAUGGACCUGGAUUCUUGUGACAUACAGGAUCAUGUCAAAAGCAG
This 117-nucleotide small nucleolar RNA is filed under the name Echinops telfairi (small Madagascar hedgehog). RNAcentral describes it as "Small nucleolar RNA SNORA61 (ENSETEG00000026048.1)". Lineage: Eukaryota; Metazoa; Chordata; Mammalia; Afrosoricida; Tenrecidae. The record is from RNAcentral.